CUAUGACGGGUAUCCGGCCUGAGAGGGUGAGCGGACACACUGGAACUGAGACACGGUCCAGACUCCUACGGGAGGCAGCAGUAGGGAAUAUUGCUCAAUGGGGGAAACCCUGAAGCAGCAACGCCGCGUGGAGGAUGAAGGUUUUAGGAUCGUAAACUCCUUUUGUUAGAGAAGAUAAUGACGGUAUCUAACGAAUAAGCACCGGCUAACUCCGUGCCAGCAGCCGCGGUAAUACGGAGGGUGCAAGCGUUACUCGGAAUCACUGGGCGUAAAGAGUGCGUAGGCGGGAGGACAAGUCAGGUGUGAAAUCCUAUGGCUUAACCAUAGAACUGCAUUUGAAACUAUCCUUCUGGAGUGUGGGAGAGGUAGGUGGAA
Molecule: ribosomal RNA, 375 nt
Filed under: uncultured Helicobacter sp.
Lineage: Bacteria; Pseudomonadati; Campylobacterota; Epsilonproteobacteria; Campylobacterales; Helicobacteraceae
Description: bacterial SSU rRNA
Rfam family: Bacterial small subunit ribosomal RNA
Source: RNAcentral